GACGAACGCUGGCGGCGUGCCUAACACAUGCAAGUCGAGCGAUGAAAUUUCCUUCGGGAAAUGGAUUAGCGGCGGACGGGUGAGUAACACGUGGGUAACCUGCCCUAAAGAGGGGGAUAGCCUUCCGAAAGGAAGAUUAAUACCGCGUAACAUUAGAUUAUCGCAUGAUAAUUUAAUUAAAGGAGUAAUCCGCUUUAGGAUGGACCCGCGUCGCAUUAGCUAGUUGGUAAGGUAAAAGCUUACCAAGGCGACGAUGCGUAGCCGACCUGAGAGGGUGAUCGGCCACAUUGGGACUGAGACACGGCCCAGACUCCUACGGGAGGCAGCAGUGGGGAAUAUUGCGCAAUGGAGGAAACUCUGACGCAGCAACGCCGCGUGAGUGAUGAAGGUCUUAGGAUUGUAAAGCUCUGUCUUUUGGGACGAUAAUGACGGUACCAAAGGAGGAAGCCACGGCUAACUACGUGCCAGCCGCCGCCGUAACAC
This 483-nucleotide ribosomal RNA is filed under the name uncultured bacterium. Its description in RNAcentral is "bacterial SSU rRNA". It matches the Rfam family "Bacterial small subunit ribosomal RNA", at positions 28 to 526 of the family's 1533-position model. The record is from RNAcentral.